UUAGUCAAAUUUGUAAGUCAGUUGGUUCUGUUAGGAAUUCCUAAGAUCAGGUGUUUGUUUGUUAUAAUCUUAGGAACGAGUUCCUAAACCUUCAUAGUAUAUGCUAUCAACUAGGAAUGUUUUGGAUUAAGUUCAGGACCGAGCUAGAAAACACUUGGAGGGCUGGAACAUCCCACUUCCCUUUGUUCUACUGAUGUCUGUUGAUGGAUAUUACUUUUUUGUUAAAAAAAAAAUUACUUUACUAGAAAACUAUGUUAAUGACAAGAAAUAUCUAGGUGUACGUUGAUCACUCAAAGAUACAUCUCUUCUUUAGCAAUUUGAUGUGAGGCAUGCUAUGUUCCAACUUCAGGGAAAAGGUGGGGCCUUUAUCUUCAACUAAUAUGUCCUUAAGUUAUCAACAUUUGACGAUUAGUUGGAAGACAAAGCCAUGUUACUUAAGGUGCUAUAGUUUACCGAUGGUGCCCACGAAAUAAAUCUUCACUAUCAGCAAUUAGAAUAGGAAUGUCAACUUCUUCUCUGACCAUCAUAUCAAACUCAUAUGAUAUCUACAUGCGCAAACUUGCCUUUCCUAACAACAGCUUCUUCAAGAUCCUCAGCCCAAAAAACCCUUUGCUAUUAAAUUCAAUACUUUCCCCAUUAUUUACAAAAUGGGUUCGAUGCUCUAGCUCUCCAUCACUUCUCUUCCAUGCAUAAUGGUGUUCGCAUUGAUCGCUACAGGUAUAUCUCUGUAACAUAUCUUCAUCUUGCCUUCAAAACGUCAACUUUGGUUCAAGUGAUUCACGUCCUUUUUACAUGAAUAUUCUGGUUUGCUUUUAAGCGUGUAUGUGUUCUCUGCUUUGGUUGAUUUGUUUGCCAAGUCAUUUUUUACCAAGAAUGCAGCUAUGUUGUUCGAUGAAAUUCCUCUGAAGAAUGCUGUAAGUGCAAAUGCACUAUAGUUGUUUAAUAGGCUUUUUUUUUUUUUUUUUUGUCAUGCCAGUGUAAAAUAACAACAACAAAACAACGCCUCAAUCCCAAGAAAGUUGGGGUCGGUUAUAUGAAUCCUGACUGACCAUGCCACUCCAUUUAACCUCACCAUAGACCCAUUAUCAUGCAAAUGUGUGGAAAUUAGUUAGCUAGUUCCCCUCUAAUGAGAAUGACAAGUUAAACUGUUUCUAUAUAUUGGGUCUUGCUGAGUGCCUGAAGUAAUUUUGACAAUGUUUGAACAGUAAUUUAGCUUCUCAAAGGGUACUCCAGUCGGACCUUCUAGAUGAUGUAGUUCAUUUUUUGCUUUCAAAAAUGUAUGCAAGGAAUAGUAUGUGGAAUGAGAAUGAAAAACCAAGGGAACAGAGAAGGGCCUACAGAAAGGCAGUGACAUAGCCUGGUAGACGUCACAAGAUGAGUUAAAGAUGCUGAUUUUAAAGAAACCACAUUCUCCGACUCAUGGAUUCAUGUUGGUCAGCCGAAAAUGGUUUGAGGUAUUAGUGGUGCAGCUUGAGGACUUCGGUCACUUAUGGUAUAUUUUGACAAAUGUGAUAAGGUACUCUUCUUGAUGGAAUUGGAAUGUUCAUAAUGAGGUUUGUUACACGGAAGUGCUGCCACAAGUUUGAAUUUCUAGUACGAUUGAGUAAACUGCAAAGACAGUGCUUCACCGUGCCGUAGUUUCUCCGCCUAGAAAAUGAGAGCAGUAACAGGCUGAGAACAAAUGAAUUUCUUAUCACUGCAAAACCAUUUGUAAGGAUUUCUUUUUCCCUGAGCUUAUACAAAAUGACAGCAAAAUGUAAAAAUAUCAAGGAAAAGGCAUCAUCAUUCAUUUCCAUGUUGAUCUUCAUUAUCAACUAGCACAUCUUGUGAGUUGCUCCUGUUUUACAGCUCUGCUGCCUGAUAGCAUAUAAUGAACAAACUACCCAAUGCUAGGACCAAAAAAUUUAAAGUUUUGAUUACUAAACAAUUAGAAUCAUCCAAGAAUUGAAAUAGUCAUGGACUUGCCUAAAUCAAUCUCUUAGUUUUUUCUG
Molecule: long non-coding RNA, 1991 nt
Organism: Lycium ferocissimum
Lineage: Eukaryota; Viridiplantae; Streptophyta; Magnoliopsida; Solanales; Solanaceae
Exons: 2
Source: RefSeq, a predicted model, not a curated record